GAUCAUGGCUCAGGAUGAACGCUAGCUACAGGCUAACACAUGCAAGUCGAGGGCAGCAUGAUCUUAGCCUGCUAAGAUUGAUGGCGACCGGCGCACGGGUGAGUAACGCGUAUCCAACCUUCCCCUUAGUAGGGCAUAGCCCGUAGAAAUGCGGAUUAAUACCCUAUGUUUUCCGAUGAUGGCAUCUGAGUUGGAAUAAAGGUUUACCGCUAAGGGAUGGGGAUGCGUCCGAUUAGGCAGCAGGCGGGGUAACGGCCCACCUGGCCUACGAUCGGUAGGGGUUCUGAGAGGAAGGUCCCCCACAUUGGAACUGAGACACGGUCCAAACUCCUACGGGAGGCAGCAGUGAGGAAUAUUGGUCAAUGGUCGAGAGACUGAACCAGCCAAGUAGCGUGCAGGACGACGGCCCUAUGGGUUGUAAACUGCUUUUAUGCGGGGAUAAAGUGACGUACGUGUACGUUUUUGCAGGUACCGCAUGAAUAAGGACCGGCUAAUUCCGUGCCAGCCGCCGC
This 512-nucleotide ribosomal RNA is filed under the name uncultured bacterium. RNAcentral describes it as "bacterial SSU rRNA". It matches the Rfam family "Bacterial small subunit ribosomal RNA", at positions 15 to 518 of the family's 1533-position model. The record is from RNAcentral.